This 329-nucleotide ribosomal RNA is filed under the name uncultured Pseudoflavonifractor sp. RNAcentral describes it as "bacterial SSU rRNA". It matches the Rfam family "Bacterial small subunit ribosomal RNA", at positions 354 to 694 of the family's 1533-position model. The record is from RNAcentral. Lineage: Bacteria; Bacillati; Bacillota; Clostridia; Eubacteriales; Oscillospiraceae.
UGAGGGAAUAUUUGGGGGCAAUGGGCGCAAGCCUGACCCAGCAACGCCGCGUGAAGGAAGAAGGCUUUCGGGUUGUAAACUUCUUUUGUCAGGGAAGAUGAACAGACUGUACCUGACGAAUAAGCCACGGCUAACUACGUGCCAGCAGCCGCGGUAAUACGUAGGUGGCAAGCGUUGUCCGGAUUUACUGGGUGUAAAGGGCGUGUAGGCGGGAUUGCAAGUCAGGCGUGAAAACCAGGGGCUCAACCUCUGGCCUGCGUUUGAAACUGUAGUUCUUGAGUACUGGAGAGGUUGACGGAAUUCCUAGUGUAGCGGUAGAAAUGCGUAGA